GCCCGCCUAGCUCAAUCGGAUAGAGCGUGAGACUUUUACGGCCUCCUAGGCGCGUUGAUCUCAAGGCUGCGGGUUCGACCCCCGCGGUGGGCU
RNAcentral lists this transfer RNA (93 nucleotides) under Dichomitus squalens LYAD-421 SS1. It matches the Rfam family "tRNA". From Rfam's summary of the family: Transfer RNA (tRNA) molecules are approximately 80 nucleotides in length. Their secondary structure includes four short double-helical elements and three loops (D, anti-codon, and T loops). The record is from Rfam by way of RNAcentral. Lineage: Eukaryota; Fungi; Basidiomycota; Agaricomycetes; Polyporales; Polyporaceae.